GCCCGGCAGCCGUACCGCAGAUGAGCCCGCGCCCGCGCCGCUCAGAUCUCCCAGCUGGACGUUCAAAAUAGCUUUUGAUGUCUUAGGGCGUCUUUUAUUCAACCCUAGGAGGCCGAGGGAAGAAAAGGAUAAUUUAAAUGAAAUUUAGUUUCUAUAAAGAAAACGAUUAAAAACAAGGUAGGUUUUUAUCUUAGAUAUUUUAUCCAGGAUAAAGGCAGAGAUUCAACCAAGUCUUUAAUUAUAAUUAGGUAUAGGAAAUGUUUAAAGUAUGCUUACAAUAUGUCCAACUGAGUAUUCUGUUUCAGAAAGGAAAGUUCAUUGAGUUGUUUAUCUUUUGGGGGCAGUUGUUUACUUAUUUUCCUUUUAAAAUAAAUAAUUAAUCUAAUAAUUUUAUAGCAUUUUAAAUAAUCAUAAAAUGUAUGUGAUAAAGUGACUGCUAUAUGUUCUCUAUAUUUUUAUUUAUUAACUAUGGAUUGCUUCUAAAAACAUGCCUUGAAUAGUAAAGGAUUCCAUAGUGUAUGUGCAUUUUAAACAUUAUAUGCUUUCUUUGUUUUUGAUGAGAUAGCAGUCUAAAUUUUUUCACUCUGCUCUUGUGUUUAAAUGCAAAUAAGUUCAUUCAGUUUUCUGUUGGUGCUUUAUUUGAUACUACCAAGUUUUUGUUUGCUAAUGUAGGACAUAUAAGGCAUCCCCUGUAAAAACAUCCCCAAGCUACUCUAUGGUUAGUGUAUGGCUAAUAUAUU
Molecule: small RNA, 740 nt
Filed under: Pongo abelii (Sumatran orangutan)
Lineage: Eukaryota; Metazoa; Chordata; Mammalia; Primates; Hominidae
Description: retained intron
Source: RNAcentral